GAAAUGCGAUAAGUAAUGUGAAUUGCAGAAUUCAGUGAAUCAUCGAAUCUUUGAACGCACCUUGCGCUCCUUGGUAUUCCUUGGAGCAUACCUGUUUGAGUAUCAUGAAAUCUUCAAAGUAAAUCUUUUGUUAACUCAAUUGGUUUCUACUUUGGUAUUGGAGGUCUUUGCAGCUUCACACCUGCUCCUCUUUGUUCAUUAGCUGGAUCUCAGUGUUAUGCUUGGUUCCACUCGGCGUGAUAAGUUAUCUAUCGCUGAGGACACUGUAAAAGGUGGCCAAGGUAAAUGCAGAUGAACCGCAUCUAAUAGUCCAUUGACUUGGACAAUACUUUUAUGAUCUGAUCUCAAAUCAGGUAGGACUACCCGCUGAACUUAAGC
Molecule: unclassified non-coding RNA, 378 nt
Filed under: plant metagenome
Description: partial contains 5.8S ribosomal RNA, internal transcribed spacer 2, and large subunit ribosomal RNA
Rfam family: 5.8S ribosomal RNA (bases 1-105)
Source: RNAcentral